Molecule: ribosomal RNA, 254 nt
Filed under: uncultured bacterium
Lineage: Bacteria
Description: partial 16S ribosomal RNA
Rfam family: Bacterial small subunit ribosomal RNA
Source: RNAcentral
CACGUAGGGGGCGAGCGUUGUCCGGAAUCAUUGGGCGUAAAGAGCUCGUAGGCGGCUCAGUAAGUCGGGUGUGAAACCCCCAGGCUCAACCUGGGGACGCCACUCGAUACUGCUGUGGCUAGAGUCCAGUAGAGGAGUGUGGAAUUCCCGGUGUAGCGGUGAAAUGCGCAGAUAUCGGGAGGAACACCAACGGCGAAGGCAGCACUCUGGGCUGGAACUGACGCUGAGGAGCGAAAGCGUGGGUAGCAAACAGG